AGCGGAAGGCCCUUCGGGCGUACUCCAGCGGCGAACGGGUGAGUAACACGUGAGCAACCUGCCCCAAGCUUUGGGAUAACCCUCGUAAACGGGGGCUAAUACCGAAUAUUACUGCUGGCCGCAUGGCUGGUGGUGGAAAGUUUUUCGGCUUGGGAUGGGCUCGCGGCCUAUCAGCUUGUUGGUGGGGUGAUGGCCUACCAAGGCGACGACGGGUAGCCGGCCUGAGACGGCGACCGGCCACACUGGGACUGACACAGUGUCCAUCUAUAUACGGGAGGCAGUCAGUGGCCGAAUAUUGCACAAUGGGCGGAAGCCUGAUGCAGCGACGCCGCGUGAGGGAUGACGGCCUUCGGGUUGUAAACCUCUUUCAGCAGGGACGAAGCGAGAGUGACGGUACCUGCAGAAGAAGCACCGGCCAACUACGUGCCAGCAGCCGCGGUAAGACGUAGGGUGCGAGCGUUGUCCGGAUUUAUUGGGCGUAAAGAGCUCGUAGGCGGCUUGUCGCGUCGACCGUGAAAACUUGGGGCUCAACCCCAAGCCUGCGGUCGAUACGGGCAGGCUAGAGUUCGGUAGGGGAGACUGGAAUUCCUGGUGUAGCGGUGAAAUGCGCAGAUAUCAGGAGGAACACCGGUGGCGAAGGCGGGUCUCUGGGCCGAUACUGACGCUGAGGAGCGAAAGCGUGGGGAGCGAACAGGAUUAGAUACCCUGGUAGUCCACGCUGUAAACGUUGGGCGCUAGGUGUGGGGGGCCUCUCCGGUUCCCUGUGCCGCAGCUAACGCAUUAAGCGCCCCGCCUGGGGAGUACGGCCGCAAGGCUAAAACUCAAAGGAAUUGACGGGGGCCCGCACAAGCGGCGGAGCAUGCGGAUUAAUUCGAUGCAACGCGAAGAACCUUACCUGGGUUUGACAUGGCCGCAAAACUCGCAGAGAUGUGAGGUCCUUCGGGGGCGGUCACAGGUGGUGCAUGGCUGUCGUCAGCUCGUGUCGUGAGAUGUUGGGUUAAGUCCCGCAACGAGCGCAACCCUCGUUCGAUGUUGCCAGCGCGUUAUGGCGGGGACUCAUCGAAGACUGCCGGGGUCAACUCGGAGGAAGGUGGGGAUGACGUCAAGUCAUCAUGCCCCUUAUGUCCAGGGCUUCACGCAUGCUACAAUGGCCGGUACAAUGGGCUGCGAUACCGUGAGGUGGAGCGAAUCCCAAAAAGCCGGUCUCAGUUCGGAUCGGGGUCUGCAACUCGACCCCGUGAAGUCGGAGUCGCUAGUAAUCGCAGAUCAGCAACGCUGCGGUGAAUACGUUCCCGGGCCUUGUACACACCGCCCGUCACGUCACGAAAGUCGGCAACACCCGAAGCCGGUGGCCC
Molecule: ribosomal RNA, 1355 nt
Filed under: Micromonospora sp. CF001
Lineage: Bacteria; Bacillati; Actinomycetota; Actinomycetes; Micromonosporales; Micromonosporaceae
Description: bacterial SSU rRNA
Rfam family: Bacterial small subunit ribosomal RNA
Source: RNAcentral